GACGAACGCUGGCGGUGUGCUUAACAUAUGCAAGUCGAACGGUAAGGCCCUUUCGGGGGUACACGAGUGGCGAACGGGUGAGUAACACGUGAGUAACCUGCCCUCAUCUCUGGGAUAACAGUCGGAAACGGUUGCUAAUACCGGAUAUGAGCUUGCAAGGCAUCUUGUGGGUUGGAAAGAUUUUUUUGGUUGGGGAUGGACUCGCGGCCUAUCAGCUUGUUGGUGAGGUAGUGGCUCACCAAGGCUUCGACGGGUAGCCGGCCUGAGAGGGCGACCGGCCACAUUGGGACUGAGAUACGGCCCAAACUCCUACGGGAGGCAGCAGUGGGGAAUAUUGCACAAUGGACGGAAGUCUGAUGCAGCAACGCCGCGUGCGGGAUGACGGCCUUCGGGUUGUAAACCGCUUUCAAUUGUGACGAAGCUUUUUGUGACGGUAGCAGUAGAAGAAGCACCGGCUAACUACGUG
Molecule: ribosomal RNA, 466 nt
Filed under: uncultured bacterium
Lineage: Bacteria
Description: partial 16S ribosomal RNA
Rfam family: Bacterial small subunit ribosomal RNA
Source: RNAcentral